Molecule: long non-coding RNA, 364 nt
Filed under: Ixodes scapularis (black-legged tick)
Lineage: Eukaryota; Metazoa; Arthropoda; Arachnida; Ixodida; Ixodidae
Description: uncharacterized LOC121835529
Source: RNAcentral
GCCCGAGCCCGGCCCGAGCCCACAGUCAAAAGUCCGAGCCCAUCCCAGGCCUGGGCUUUCGGCUCAGCAAAGUCUGCGGAUCUGGUUAUGCUUCCUGUACGAGACAGAUCACGAAGCGGUUGCUGACUGACCAGUUGGGGCGAAAAUUUUUGUGGGAAGGACGUAAGAGAAAGGUGACAUUCAGGAACCUUCACCUUGCUGAGUGCAUCAUAAAUGCAGUGCAGAGCUGCCAUAAAUGUGAAGACUUCAAGGUAGAAACCAUGGUCACGGAUUAACUUCGCCACGCACCUGCCUGACAUCAGUCAUCUCAAAUGGAACAUUCUGCACCACAGGAGAGAGAGAUGUGAACUGCCUUAAGUGGGCC